UUGACCGUGAAGUAAAUAAGUCCAGAACGACCCCCCU
This 37-nucleotide ribosomal RNA is filed under the name Saprolegnia sp. F-1561.8. RNAcentral's name for it is "partial 28S ribosomal RNA". The record is from RNAcentral. Lineage: Eukaryota; Oomycota; Saprolegniomycetes; Saprolegniales; Saprolegniaceae.